GGAUCGCGCGAAGGGCGCGUGCGUCACGCAUCAGACCUCUAAUCGGAAAAGACUACCCGCUGAGUUUAA
RNAcentral lists this ribosomal RNA (69 nucleotides) under Hookeria lucens. RNAcentral's name for it is "partial 26S ribosomal RNA". Lineage: Eukaryota; Viridiplantae; Streptophyta; Bryopsida; Hookeriales; Hookeriaceae. The record is from RNAcentral.